GGCGAACGCUGGCGGCGUGCUUAACACAUGCAAGUCGAACGAAGAGCGAUGGAAGCUUGCUUCUAUCAAUCUUAGUGGCGAACGGGUGAGUAACGCGUAAUCAACCUGCCCUUCAGAGGGGGACAACAGUUGGAAACGACUGCUAAUACCGCAUACGAUCUAAACUCGGCAUCGAGGAUAGAUGAAAGGUGGCCUCUACAUGUAAGCUAUCACUGAAGGAGGGGAUUGCGUCUGAUUAGCUAGUUGGAGGGGUAACGGCCCACCAAGGCGAUGAUCAGUAGCCGGUCUGAGAGGAUGAACGGCCACAUUGGGACUGAGACACGGCCCAGACUCCUACGGGAGGCAGCAGUGGGGAAUCUUCCGCAAUGGACGAAAGUCUGACGGAGCAACGCCGCGUGAGGGAUGACGGCCUUCGGGUUGUAAAGCUCUGUUAAUCGGGACGAAAGGCCUUCUUGCGAAUAGUGAGAAGGAUUGACGGUACCGGAAUAGAAAGCCACGGCUAACUACGUG
RNAcentral lists this ribosomal RNA (510 nucleotides) under uncultured bacterium. RNAcentral describes it as "partial 16S ribosomal RNA". It matches the Rfam family "Bacterial small subunit ribosomal RNA", at positions 28 to 507 of the family's 1533-position model. The record is from RNAcentral.